This 75-nucleotide transfer RNA is filed under the name Candidatus Gottesmanbacteria bacterium. RNAcentral describes it as "tRNA-Lys". It matches the Rfam family "tRNA". Rfam says of the family: Transfer RNA (tRNA) molecules are approximately 80 nucleotides in length. Their secondary structure includes four short double-helical elements and three loops (D, anti-codon, and T loops). The record is from RNAcentral. Lineage: Bacteria; Candidatus Gottesmaniibacteriota.
GGGCGCGUAGCUCAACGGUAGAGCAUUUCCCUCUUAAGGAAGUGGUUGGAGGUUCGAAUCCUCCCGCGCUCACCA